UUUCCCCGCCCAAAGGCAGGCCUUCUGUGCCUCUGAGCAUCCAGAUUGCGAGAAGUCUCCAGGCGCAGAGUUCGCGGGCCCUGGUGAGCCAGGUGCCAGAGGGUCAGCGGGGAUCUCUCGUCGAGGGGAGACGCCCCAUUUUAGCUCUCGCGAUCCCUGGAGACCGAUGUCGAGGCCUGAGAGAAACUUUUCUCCCUCCCAGUGUUGAGCAUCUCCUCGGCUUUGACCCCCAGGGACCCUGGCUGGAAACAGUUCCUGAGAACUGCGCCCUGCUCAGCGCAAAGUCUUCAGGGGGCGAGUGAAAGCCUGAAGAAGCUCCAGGCCCCCCAAAAGUGCUUCCUCCUCUCCGCUGGCCGCUCCACUUUAGAGGGUGGAGUUGAGAUCACUAACCCGGGGGCAGAGCAACCAGAAGAAAUCUGCCUUUCCUCGGGUGGUGGAGAGUCCCUUUCUCCCCCCUUUCCCUGGAGCUUGGCGAAGGCCAAGGUCUAUGCAGCAUCCAGCCAAGCUGAGGACCAAGCAGUUCUCUGGUGAAUCAGGCCACCAGAUAUUUAUCGCACACCUGCCAUGUGCCAGGAACUUCGCCAUCAAGCAGACUCGCAGCUCGGAGGGCGAGGUGGACAUUGUAAAGAGCGAUCAAGACUGUGUUGUGGGCAGCGCGGGAGCACGCAUGUGCAAUGUGCCCGGGAGGCGUCCAGGAGCUGGAACUGGAAGGAGGAGCCGGGAGUGGAGCAGGGAGGCCUCCCCGUUUUUUAUUUUUGAGGUCGGGUGUUAUCAGGGGCAGGUAGAUUAGCCUUGCUUUUAUUCUAUUAAGCUGAAGUGAAGGGAAGCCUCCUUUCUCUCCAUCCUUGACAGUAUUCUCUUUGAAGAUGAUAAAAGAAGAUUGAACCACUGGUUCACUUGUUUGCUCGUCUGAAAUUCGGCCUCAGUGCGGUUAUGCGUGCCCCAUCUCAGCCAAAGUAAAGGAACUUUCUGCUUUACUCUUCUCCAGCAAAAACAGCAGUCAGUCAAAAUAAACAACCGUUGGAAUCCAAACGCUGGCUCCUCCUACGGAAAACGCAAAAUAUUUUCCUUUUAUAUUGAUAGAGGUCCCCGGGGUGCCUGGCACGGCUGUGCGCGCAUCUUCAGCGCGCGCCCACCUGCGCGCAGAGCCGAGCAGUGAUCAGGCCUUGAUCCUGCCAGCAGGCCGCCUCCGCCCCCUCGCGGUGUCCGCUGUCAGCCCAGGGCCGAGUCAGCGCCUGCCCUCCAUCCGCUCGAGGCCACAGCGGCGAGAAGGCUGGACCGCCGCGCGCCGGGAGCCGGGCAGGGUCGGCCGGACCCCCGCUGCCGCUUCCUCCAAGCCCUGCUGACCUCUAGUGGUCACAAGGUAGAACUGAACAGGACGCUGGGCCAGAGGGGGAAGCAGGCAGGGUUUGUCUCAACCCUCCGCGGGUCUCACCCCAGGUUUGCGCCUUAGAAUCACCUGGGAGCUUUGAAAAUACCCCGUGUCUAGGCCCCACCGCAAACCAGUCUCCGACGGUGGGACCUCGCGUCGGUUUUUUUUAAGGUCCGCAGGUCAUUUUAAUGUGCAGCCGGGAUUAAGAGCCGUUGGUCAAAAUCGGGCAUUCGUUGCCCUCUAAUGUGCGUGUGCCAGAGCAGGUGGCUUUGAUGCCAGCGUCUGAAUAUGGCCGAGUAUGUCUGCUCUCAAGUGUGCCCCUGAGUAGAGUGUCUGAGCACCCGUAUGGGCUUUUGUGCCUCCCUGACGGCGUGUCUCUGAUGCUGGUGUCUGACGACCGUGGGGGUCCUGUGCCUGAGUGAGUGGCUGCAUAGGGUGAGUGAGCUGGGGUGGAACUCGUAACCUGGGCACAGUCUCAAGAAGCAAAGGGUCCUGGGGCUGGCCCCGUGGCCGAGUGGUUAAGUUCGCGCGCUCCGCUGCAGGCGGCCCAGUGUUUCGUUGGUUCGAAUCCUGGG
Molecule: non-coding RNA, 1947 nt
Organism: Equus caballus (horse)
Lineage: Eukaryota; Metazoa; Chordata; Mammalia; Perissodactyla; Equidae
Source: RefSeq, a predicted model, not a curated record